UACGUAGGGGGCAAGCGUUGUCCGGAUUUACUGGGCGUAAAGAGCGUGUAGGCGGCCAAACAGGUCCGUUGUGAAAACUGGAGGCUUAACCUCCAGACGUCGACGGAAACCGUGUGGCUAGAGUCCGGAAGAGGAGAGUGGAAUUCCUGGUGUAGCGGUAAAAUGCGCAGAUAUCAGGAAGAACACCAAUGGCGAAGGCAGCUCUCUGGGACGGUACUGACGCUGAGACGCGAAAGCGUGGGGAGCGAACAGG
RNAcentral lists this ribosomal RNA (253 nucleotides) under uncultured bacterium. RNAcentral describes it as "partial 16S ribosomal RNA". It matches the Rfam family "Bacterial small subunit ribosomal RNA", at positions 524 to 776 of the family's 1533-position model. The record is from RNAcentral.